This 275-nucleotide long non-coding RNA is filed under the name Lathyrus oleraceus (garden pea). RNAcentral's name for it is "Pisum sativum (pea) long non-coding RNA (PSAT_LNC005429)". The record is from RNAcentral. Lineage: Eukaryota; Viridiplantae; Streptophyta; Magnoliopsida; Fabales; Fabaceae.
AAUUAAUCUAAUAACGUCAAUUAAAAAUUCUUCGGAAUUUUCUGAAACUAUCAAAAUAGAAAAAGAAUCAUAAAAAAUAGAAAAAUAAGGAAUUUCGGGUUUUUAGGAUGACUUCCAAUGUUUAGUUCCUAAAUAGAGGCUUUUGAUCCUUGAUUUUUUCCUAGUUAAUCGACAAAGAAUCGGAAUAAUUUGAGACGAUUUUCUUAAAAAAAUAGUUAUUUUUUAUCCUAAAACGCAAAAACACCAGAACACAAGAAAGUUAGGGCAAAAAAAAU